UACGUAGGGAGCAAGAGUUGUCCGGAUUUACUGGGUGUAAAGGGUGCGUAGGCGGCUUGGCAAGUCAGAUGUGAAAUGCAGAGGCUCAACCUCUGAGCUGCAUUUGAAACUGUCAGGCUUGGGUGAAGUAGAGGCAGGCGGAAUUCCCUGUGUAGCGGUGGAAUGCGUAGAGAUAGGGAGGAACACCAGUGGCGAAGGCGGCCUGGGGGCUUUAACUGACGCUGAGGCACGAAAGCGUGGGUAGCAAACA
This 250-nucleotide ribosomal RNA is filed under the name uncultured prokaryote. RNAcentral's name for it is "partial 16S ribosomal RNA". It matches the Rfam family "Bacterial small subunit ribosomal RNA", at positions 524 to 774 of the family's 1533-position model. The record is from RNAcentral.